Molecule: ribosomal RNA, 325 nt
Filed under: uncultured eukaryote
Lineage: Eukaryota
Description: partial 18S ribosomal RNA
Rfam family: Eukaryotic small subunit ribosomal RNA
Source: RNAcentral
CCCUUAGAUGUUCUGGGCCGCACGCGCGCUACACUGAUGCAUUCAACGAGCCUAUCCUUGACCGACAGGUCCGGGUAAUCUUUGAAUCUGCAUCGUGACGGGGAUAGAUUAUUGCAAUUAUUAAUCUUCAACGAGGAAUGCCUAGUAGGCGCAAGUCAUCAGCUUGCGUCGAUUACGUCCCUGCCCUUUGUACACACCGCCCGUCGCUCCUACCGAUUGGGUGUGCUGGUGAAAUGUUCGGAUCGGCCGUUUGUCGCGGUUUCCGCGGCUCGUGGCUGCGAAGUUCAUUAAACCCUCCCACCUAGAGGAAGGAGAAGUCGUAACA